UUGGCAUCCUGAAGACACAUUGUU
Molecule: microRNA, 24 nt
Filed under: Sarcophilus harrisii (Tasmanian devil)
Lineage: Eukaryota; Metazoa; Chordata; Mammalia; Dasyuromorphia; Dasyuridae
Description: Sha-Mir-12475-P6_5p (mature (guide))
Source: RNAcentral